RNAcentral lists this ribosomal RNA (378 nucleotides) under uncultured cyanobacterium. Its description in RNAcentral is "bacterial SSU rRNA". It matches the Rfam family "Bacterial small subunit ribosomal RNA", at positions 376 to 770 of the family's 1533-position model. The record is from RNAcentral. Lineage: Bacteria; Bacillati; Cyanobacteriota.
CGAAAGCCUGACGGAGCAAUACCGCGUGAGGGAGGAAGGCUCUUGGGUCGUAAACCUCAAAACUUAGGGAAGAAGAAAGUGACGGUACCUAAUAUAAGCAUCGGCUAACUCCGUGCCAGCAGCCGCGGUAAUACGGAGGAUGCGAGCGUUAUCCGGAAUCAUUGGGCGUAAAGAGUCUGUAGGUGGCACUUCAAGUCUGCUGUCAAAGACCGAAGCUUAACUUCGGGCAGGCAGUGGAAACUGGUGAACUAGAGUACGGUAGGGGUAGAGGGAAUUUCCAGUGUAGCGGUGAAAUGCGUAGAGAUUGGAAAGAACACCAGUGGCGAAGGCGCUCUACUGGACCUGUACUGACACUGAGGGACGAAAGCUAGGGGAGCG